This 1161-nucleotide long non-coding RNA is filed under the name Gossypium barbadense (sea-island cotton). RNAcentral's name for it is "long non-coding RNA (GBAR_LNC004933)". Lineage: Eukaryota; Viridiplantae; Streptophyta; Magnoliopsida; Malvales; Malvaceae. The record is from RNAcentral.
CGUACACGAGUGCGUGUUAUAAGGGAAAAAGAAAACUAUUAGGAUAAACUUCAUUUGAAGUAAUGAAAUUAUUAGUAAAUUUAUAUUUUAAUUAUUAAAUUUUAAAAAUUUAUAAAAUAAUUAUUAAAUUAUGUAAAAAAAUUUAUUUAAGUUGUUGAUGUAUAACCUUUUAUAUUCGCAAUAAACUUUUAUUACAUUAAAAAAAAUUCUCAACAAUUAAUUUUUUAAAGAAUAAAUAUUUAGGAAGUUAAUAUAUUAUUGGUUGGGAGGGGUAAUGGUCUAAGACUUCCAUGAAAGUCUCAAAACAUUUAGUCAAGUCUCAAAACAAGCAAAGUUACCAAAGUUUUGUUCUAGAAGAACAAGUUCUCAAGACGUGAUCUUCAAGUUUUGAAACUUAUUCUUAAAUUGUAAGACCCAAUUUUAGCUCGGGCUACUUAAUUCCAGCCCAAUAAAUAAAACCCCAAAAAAAAAUCUAAAGAGAGUCUAAAAUUACAAAAACAACAAAUCCAAUUAUAAGCCCAAAAUAAACCUAACCUUACAGCCCAAACAGCCCAAAACUAAACUAACUUUUCAGCAAAAAAUAGAAUAGCUGCUGCACCCCUCCACCACGCACGUCGGCGCACCUCGCACGUCCGGCCAUCUCGCUUGUGGCACGACCCACGCCCCACGUUCACCAUACCUGCAACUAGUAGAAGCAAAGAAACCGUUGUAAAGUUGGCUAUAAAAAGGUCACGAAUUUUCAUUUGUAAGGGUUUUUUUUUUUGGAAAAAAAGAGAAUACAAGUUGUAAUAUAAAAUACACACAAAAAUCAGUAGAAAGGGACCAAAGAAUAUUUUCAAAGGUGAAUAUUUACUGCAGUUUUUUUUGUGUUGUUUCUUCUUUUUCCUUAUUUUUUCAUUUCCAUUCGGAUCCAUAUACAAAAAUAUAAAAAGAAAGAGGAGGGGAACUUACCGACGUGGCACAAGAGAAACCUUUGAAGUCGAAUUUUGGCUCAAAAUGGUGGUCUGUCGAAGAAGAGGAAAAGAGGAGAAAGUGAAGGAGAAAAGUUUCAAAACUUUAAGUUUUUUUUUUUAAGGAAAAAGUUUAAAUGUUUUCUAAAAAAAUGAUUUUUUAAAGCAGGUUUCAAUUUUAGGUAAUAAAGGGAACAACAUUAGGAGAAGG